GGUAUGGGAUGAGCUUGCGUCCGAUUAGCUAGUUGGCGGGGCAACGGCCCACCAAGGCGACGAUCGGUAGCCGGCCUGAGAGGGUGAUCGGCCACAUUGGGACUGAGAUACGGCCCAGACUCCUACGGGAGGCAGCAGUAGGGAAUAUUGCACAAUGGGGGAAACCCUGAUGCAGCAACGCCACGUGUGGGAAGAAGCAUUUCGGUGUGUAAACCACUGUCAUGAGGGAAUAAGGCCCGCCUCCGGGCGGGAUUGAAUGUACCUUGAGAGGAAGCACCGGCGAACUUCGUGCCAGCAGCCGCGGUAAUACGAGGGGUGCAAGCGUUGUUCGGAAUUACUGGGCGUAAAGGGAGCGUAGGCGGAGAUUCAAGCGGAUUGUACAAUCCCGGGGCCCAACCCCGGCUCUGCAGUCCGAACUGGAUCUCUUGGAUAGUUCAGGGGCAGGC
This 446-nucleotide ribosomal RNA is filed under the name uncultured bacterium. RNAcentral describes it as "bacterial SSU rRNA". It matches the Rfam family "Bacterial small subunit ribosomal RNA", at positions 217 to 662 of the family's 1533-position model. The record is from RNAcentral.